RNAcentral lists this ribosomal RNA (794 nucleotides) under uncultured bacterium. RNAcentral describes it as "bacterial SSU rRNA". It matches the Rfam family "Bacterial small subunit ribosomal RNA", at positions 71 to 861 of the family's 1533-position model. The record is from RNAcentral.
AGCACGGACUUCGGUCUGGUGGCGAGUGGCGAACGGGUGAGUAAUGUAUCGGAACGUACCUUUCAGUGGGGGAUAACGUAGCGAAAGUUACGCUAAUACCGCAUAUUCUGUGCGCAGGAAAGCAGGGGAUCGCAAGACCUUGCGCUGAUUGAGCGGCCGAUAUCAGAUUAGCUAGUUGGUGAGGUAAAGGCUCACCAAGGCGACGAUCUGUAGCGGGUCUGAGAGGAUGAUCCGCCACACUGGAACUGAGACACGGUCCAGACUCCUACGGGAGGCAGCAGUGGGGAAUUUUGGACAAUGGGGGCAACCCUGAUCCAGCCAUGCCGCGUGAGUGAAGAAGGCCUUCGGGUUGUAAAGCUCUUUCGGCCGGGAAGAAAUCGCACAGGUUAAUACCCUGUGUGGAUGACGGUACCGGAAUAAGAAGCACCGGCUAACUACGUGCCAGCAGCCGCGGUAAUACGUAGGGUGCGAGCGUUAAUCGGAAUUACUGGGCGUAAAGCGUGCGCAGGCGGUUUUGUAAGACAGGCGUGAAAUCCCCGGGCUCAACCUGGGAACUGCAUUAGUGACUGUAUAGCUAGAGUGCGGCAGAGGGGGAUGGAAUUCCGCGUGUAGCAGUGAAAUGCGUAGAUAUGCGGAGGAACACCGAUGGCGAAGGCAAUCCCCUGGGCCUGCACUGACGCUCAUGCACGAAAGCGUGGGGAGCAAACAGGAUUAGAUACCCUGGUAGUCCACGCCCUAAACGAUGUCAACUGGUUGUUGGGAAUUUACUUUCUCAGUAACGAAGCUAACGCGUG